RNAcentral lists this ribosomal RNA (301 nucleotides) under uncultured bacterium. RNAcentral's name for it is "partial 16S ribosomal RNA". It matches the Rfam family "Bacterial small subunit ribosomal RNA", at positions 509 to 807 of the family's 1533-position model. The record is from RNAcentral.
CAGCCGCCGCGGGAAUACGUAGGGUGCAAGCGUUAAUCUGAAUUACUGGGCGUAAAGCGUGCGCAGGCGGUUAUAUAAGACAGAUGUGAAAUCCCCGGGCUCAACCUGGGAACUGCAUUUGUGACUGUAUAGCUAGAGUACGGCAGAGGGGGAUGGAAUUCCGCGUGUAGCAGUGAAAUGCGUAGAUAUGCGGAGGAACACCGAUGGCGAAGGCAAUCCCCUGGGCCUGUACUGACGCUCAUGCACGAAAGCGUGGGGAGCAAACAGGAUUAGAUACCCGCGUAGUCCCUGUCUCUUAUAC